AAAGCCUGACGCAGCCAUGCCGCGUGAAUGAUGAAGGUCUUAGGAUUGUAAAAUUCUUUCACCGGGGAAGAUAAUGACGGUACCCGGAGAAGAAGCCCCGGCUAACUUCGUGCCAGCAGCCGCGGUAAUACGAAGGGGGCUAGCGUUGCUCGGAAUUACUGGGCGUAAAGGGCGCGUAGGCGGAUAGUUUAGUCAGAGGUGAAAGCCCAGGGCUCAACCUUGGAACUGCCUUUGAUACUGGCUAUCUUGAGUUCGGGAGAGGUGAGUGGAAUGCCGAGUGUAGAGGUGAAAUUCGUAGAUAUUCGGCGGAACACCAGUGGCGAAGGCGACUCACUGGCCCGAUACUGACGCUGAGGCGCGAAAGCGUGGGGAGCAAACAGGAUUAGAUACCCUGGUAGUCCACGCUGUAA
This 410-nucleotide ribosomal RNA is filed under the name alpha proteobacterium so44. RNAcentral describes it as "bacterial SSU rRNA". It matches the Rfam family "Bacterial small subunit ribosomal RNA", at positions 378 to 805 of the family's 1533-position model. Lineage: Bacteria; Pseudomonadati; Pseudomonadota; Alphaproteobacteria. The record is from RNAcentral.